This is a long non-coding RNA of Perognathus longimembris pacificus (Pacific pocket mouse), 165 nucleotides long. RefSeq lists it as uncharacterized. The transcript is spliced from 3 exons. Lineage: Eukaryota; Metazoa; Chordata; Mammalia; Rodentia; Heteromyidae. The record is from RefSeq and is a predicted model, not a curated record.
GCUGUGGCUCAAGUGGUAGAGCACUAGCCAUGAGGUCUCAGGGACAGUGCCCAGGCCCUGAGUUCAAGCCCCAGGACUGACAAGAAACAACAAUAAACAAUCUACCUCCUUUUGAAGACCAAAUAUGUUUAUAUCACAGCAAUUCAAGGUGCACCUUAAAAUCGC